RNAcentral lists this ribosomal RNA (525 nucleotides) under uncultured bacterium. RNAcentral's name for it is "bacterial SSU rRNA". It matches the Rfam family "Bacterial small subunit ribosomal RNA", at positions 374 to 917 of the family's 1533-position model. The record is from RNAcentral.
GGNGGAACUCUGAUGCAGCGACGCCGCGUGAGCGAUGAAGCCCUUCGGGGUGUAAAGCUCUUUCGACGGGAACGAUAAUGACGGUACCCGAAGAAGAAGCUGCGGCUAACUACGUGCCAGCAGCCGCGGUAAUACGUAGGCAGCGAGCGUUGUUCGGAAUUACUGGGCGUAAAGAGUGUGUAGGUGGUGUUCUAAGUUUGGUGUGAAAUCUCCCGGCUUAACUGGGAGGGUGCGCCGAAAACUGGAGUGCUUGAGUAUGGGAGAGGUAAGCGGAAUUCCUGGUGUAGCGGUGAAAUGCGUAGAUAUCAGGAGGAACACCUGUGGUGUAGACAGCUUACUGGACCAUCACUGACACUGAGACACGAAAGCGUGGGUAGCAAACAGGAUUAGAUACCCUGGUAGUCCACGCCCUAAACGAUGCAUACUUGGUGUGAGCCAUUCAUUUGGUUCGUGCCGGAGCUAACGCGUUAAGUAUGCCGCCUGGGGAGUACGGUCGCAAGGCUGAAACUCAAAGAAAUUGACGGA